AGCAGCCGCGGUAAUUCCAGCUCCAAUAGCGUAUAUUAAAGUUGUUGCAGUUAAAAAGCUCGUAGUUGAAUUUCGGGGUCUGUCCGUCGGUCGGGCUUCACGGUCCGUACUGGUGUGAUGGGUUCCUACCUUCUGAAUAACCGGCAUGCCAUUCAGUUGGUGCGCCGGGGAAGCAGAGCUAUUACCUUGAAAAAAUUAGAGUGCUUAAAGCAGGCCAGUGCUUGAAUAGAUUAGCAUGGAAUAAUAAAAUAGGACGGCAUGGUUCUAUUUUGUUGGUUUCUAGGAUCACCGUAAUGAUUAAUAGGGAUAGUUGGGGGACAUUAGUAUUCAAUUGUCAGAGGUGAAAUUCUUGGAUUUAUUGAAGACUAACUUCUGCGAAAGCAUUUGCCAAGGAUGUUUUCAUUAAUCAAGAACGAAAGUUAGGGGAUCGAAGACGAUCAGAUACCGUCGUAGUCUUAACCAUAAACUAUGCCGACUAGGGGAUCGGACGAUGUUAAUUUUUU
This 503-nucleotide unclassified non-coding RNA is filed under the name uncultured Entrophospora. RNAcentral describes it as "SSU rRNA". It matches the Rfam family "Eukaryotic small subunit ribosomal RNA", at positions 569 to 1072 of the family's 1831-position model. Lineage: Eukaryota; Fungi; Glomeromycota; Glomeromycetes; Entrophosporales; Entrophosporaceae. The record is from RNAcentral.